GCGUAAUAGCUCACUGAUCGAGUCGUCCUGCGCGGAAGAUGUAACGGGGCUAAGCCAGUUACCGAAGCUGCGGAUGCACAGUUUACUGUGCGUGGUAGGAGAGCGUUCUGUAAGCCUGUGAAGGUGUCUGGUAACGGAUGCUGGAGGUAUCAGAAGUGCGAAUGCUGACAUGAGUAGCGUUAAAGCGGGUGAAAAGCCCGCUCGCCGUAAGCGCAAGGUUUUCUACGCAACGUUCAUCGGCGUAGAGUAAGUCGGCCCCUAAGGUGAGGCAGAGAUGCGUAACUGAUGGGAAACGGGUCAAUAUUCCCGUACCGAUGUGUAGUGCGAUGUGGGGACGAAGAAGGUUAGCUCAGCCAACUGUUGGAUAUGUUGGUUCAAGCCUGUAGUCGUGCUCGGUAGGCAAAUCCGCCGGGCUAAGAUGAGGGGUGAUAACGGGUCUGCUUGCAGACGAAGUGAGUGAUACCCAGCUUCCAGGAAAAGCCACUAAGCUUCAGCUACACACGACCGUACCGCAAACCGACACUGGUGCGCGAGAUGAGUAUUCUAAGGCGCUUGAGAGAACUCAGGAGAAGGAACUCGGCAAAUUGAUACCGUAACUUCGGGAGAAGGUAUGCCCCAAGUAAGUGAAGUUGUACAAAUGGAGCUAAACGGGGUUGCAAAAAAUCGGUGGCUGCGACUGUUUAAUAAAAACACAGCACUCUGCAAACACGAAAGUGGACGUAUAGGGUGUGACGCCUGCCCGGUGCUGGAAGAUUAAAUGAUGGGGUGCAAGCUCUUGAUUGAAGUCCCAGUAAACGGCGGCCGUAACUAUAACGGUCCUAAGGUAGCGAAAUUCCUUGUCGGGUAAGUUCCGACCUGCACGAAUGGCGUAACGAUGGCCACACUGUCUCCUCCUGAGACUCAGCGAAGUUGAAAUGUUUGUGAUGAUGCAAUCUCCCCGCGGAAAGACGGAAAGACCCCAUGAACCUUUACUGUAGCUUUGUAUUGGACUUUGAACAGAUCUGUGUAGGAUAGGUGGGAGGCUUUGAAGUGAGGUCGCUAGAUCUCAUGGAGCCAACGUUGAAAUACCACCCUGGUGUGUUUGAGGUUCUAACCUAGGUCCAUUAUCUGGAUCGGGGACAGUGCAUGGUAGGCAGUUUGACUGGGGCGGUCUCCUCCCAAAGCGUAACGGAGGAGUUCGAAGGUACGCUAGUUACGGUCGGACAUCGUGACGAUAGUGCAAUGGCAUAAGCGUGCUUAACUGCGAGACUGACAAGUCGAGCAGAUGCGAAAGCAGGACAUAGUGAUCCGGUGGUUCUGUAUGGAAGGGCCAUCGCUCAACGGAUAAAAGGUACUCUGGGGAUAACAGGCUGAUACCGCCCAAGAGUUCAUAUCGACGGCGGUGUUUGGCACCUCGAUGUCGGCUCAUCUCAUCCUGGGGCUGUAGUCGGUCCCAAGGGUAUGGCUGUUCGCCAUUUAAAGAGGUACGUGAGCUGGGUUUAAAACGUCGUGAGACAGUUUGGUCCCUAUCUUCCGUGGGCGCUGCAGAUUUGAGGAAGCCUGCUCCUAGUACGAGAGGACCGGAGUGGACACACCUCUGGUGUAUCGGUUGUCACGCCAGUGGCAUUGCCGAGUAGCUAUGUGUGGAAGAGAUAACCGCUGAAAGCAUCUAAGCGGGAAACUCGUUCCAAGAUGAGAUCUGCCGGGGGCUUGACCCCCCUGAAGAGUCGUUCUAGACCAGGACGUUGAUAGGUUGGGUGUGGAAGCGCAGCAAUGCGUUAAGCUAACCAAUACUAAUUGCUCGUGCGGCUUGACC
RNAcentral lists this ribosomal RNA (1795 nucleotides) under fermentation metagenome. RNAcentral's name for it is "bacterial LSU rRNA". It matches the Rfam family "Bacterial large subunit ribosomal RNA", at positions 1132 to 2925 of the family's 2925-position model. The record is from RNAcentral.